Molecule: long non-coding RNA, 296 nt
Filed under: Bos taurus (domestic cattle)
Lineage: Eukaryota; Metazoa; Chordata; Mammalia; Artiodactyla; Bovidae
Description: long non-coding RNA NONBTAT023797
Source: RNAcentral
GGAAUUUUUAUUACAAAAGUAUAAAAUGUGUUUAUAGCCAAGCAUUAGUUAGUAUAAUGAUUCUAUUGUGAUAUCAUCUCAAUUAUGAAUCCUCAUCUCUUCAUUAAUUAAGAGACUGCCCCACUCCCUUCAUUUUUAUCAGCUCACUCAAGUAUCCCUCAGAUCAAAGGGAAGACCAGACCAGCCAGAAGAGUCUCUCCUUUACGAGCCUAUUAACAGUAGUAAUAGAAUUACCCAGAGUGAGGAUAAGCUCUACGAGGCCAUGGCUAGUUUAAUAACACAAGUCACUGGAUAGU